UUGGAGGGCAAGUCUGGUGCCAGCAGCCGCGGUAAUUCCAGCUCCAAUAGCGUAUAUUAACGUUGUUGCAGUUAAAAAGCUCGUAGUUGAAGUGUGGGUGAUCGCUGUUGUGAGACUUCGGUCUCUCGACAGUAAGUCCCCCCCUUCCAGUAUCCAGUAGUGGGUAUUCAGUUACUUACUACUGUGUGUUGGUCCUUUACUGUGAGAAAAUUAGAGUGUUCAAAGCAGGCGUUUGCUUGAAUAGAUUAGCAUGGAAUAAUAAUUGAAGGCUUUCGUGUUCGAUUUGAUUGGUUUGUUCAUGGAAGCAAGGUUAAAAGGAACAGUUGGGGGUAUUCAUAUUCACUAGUUAGAGGUGAAAUUCUCG
RNAcentral lists this ribosomal RNA (364 nucleotides) under Blastocystis sp. RNAcentral's name for it is "SSU rRNA". It matches the Rfam family "Eukaryotic small subunit ribosomal RNA", at positions 548 to 922 of the family's 1831-position model. Lineage: Eukaryota; Bigyra; Opalinata; Blastocystidae. The record is from RNAcentral.